GUGAGUGUAGCUCAAUUGGCAGAGCACUGGACUGUGGCUCCAGGGGCUGAGGGUUCGAGGCCCUUCACUCACC
This 73-nucleotide transfer RNA is filed under the name Binatia bacterium. RNAcentral's name for it is "tRNA-His". It matches the Rfam family "tRNA". Rfam says of the family: Transfer RNA (tRNA) molecules are approximately 80 nucleotides in length. Their secondary structure includes four short double-helical elements and three loops (D, anti-codon, and T loops). The record is from RNAcentral. Lineage: Bacteria; Candidatus Binatota; Binatia (SeqCode).